This 229-nucleotide long non-coding RNA is filed under the name Lathyrus oleraceus (garden pea). RNAcentral describes it as "Pisum sativum (pea) long non-coding RNA (PSAT_LNC038097)". The record is from RNAcentral. Lineage: Eukaryota; Viridiplantae; Streptophyta; Magnoliopsida; Fabales; Fabaceae.
AAAAGAAGAUUAAUUACAUAAACAUUUUUUAAAACUUCACACGUUACAAACAAUUCAAGAACAGUUGCAUAAUUAUCCAAAAUGAAAAGUCCAAAUAACAAAAGUUGAUGCAACAAUGACAGGUUGAGAACAGAGCCUUUGAAGAACCAACAGCCAAAACCAUUCUUCAGGCCAAAACGCUCCUAAAUCCAAUUGCCUCAUAGAGUGGAUGCAGGUUUCUUCAAUCAGG